GUUAAAUUUGCAUAAUUGAUUAUCGUGGAAAAUUAAUAAGUGGCAAGAUAUUUGUUUAUCAGUUCGCAGUGGCUUAAUCUCCACAGGGUAUCAGUUACGCAAAUUUUGUUAAUUGAUACGGCAUAGAGCUGACUUCCCUACAUCUCUACAUGAACUCGUCUUAUAAAUAGACGAUACUGCAUAUCUGCAAACACACGGCAUUCCAAUCAUUCCGUCUUCCGACAUCACUUUCACUUUUACGACCGACGGCAACCUCCAAGCUUCAAAAUGGUAAGUUAGCUUUUUAUUUCAACAUCUUAACAUUUAGUUUGUUUUUGAAAGCAUUUGUUUGAAUAUUUAUUGCUUUUUAUUCAAUUUUGCUCGACUUUCACAAAAAUACUAGCUCACUAAAUAAGGAUUUUACAAGUCUACGACGUGUAUUAAUAGAAAACAUUUAACUUGUUUCAUAAUUUAUUUGCAAACGCAUUCAGAGUACAUCUAUAGCAAAGAUUGAUCUUCUAAAUAUGAUUGUUACUUUUUAUUUCAUAUUUCUUUCCUUAUUUUAAACAUUUUAUUUUUAUAUUUUUUUCAGUCGAAGUUAUCAAAAGGCGAGAUCG
RNAcentral lists this long non-coding RNA (596 nucleotides) under Mytilus galloprovincialis (Mediterranean mussel). Lineage: Eukaryota; Metazoa; Mollusca; Bivalvia; Mytilida; Mytilidae. The record is from RNAcentral.